This 660-nucleotide ribosomal RNA is filed under the name uncultured Trichococcus sp. RNAcentral's name for it is "bacterial SSU rRNA". It matches the Rfam family "Bacterial small subunit ribosomal RNA", at positions 8 to 645 of the family's 1533-position model. Lineage: Bacteria; Bacillati; Bacillota; Bacilli; Lactobacillales; Carnobacteriaceae. The record is from RNAcentral.
AGAGUUUGAUCCUGGCUCAGGACGAACGCUGGCGGCGUGCCUAAUACAUGCAAGUCGAACGGUCUUUUCUAUGGAAGCUUGCUUCCACUGAGAAGAUAGUGGCGAACGGGUGAGUAACACGUGGGUAACCUGCCCAUAAGAGGGGGAUAACAUCCGGAAACGGGUGCUAAUACCGCAUAGUUUUCUUGGUCGCAUGAUCGAGAAAGGAAAGACGGYCUUUGUGCUGUCGCUUAUGGAUGGACCCGCGGCGUAUUAGUUAGUUGGUGAGGUAAUGGCUCACCAAGACGAWGAUACGUAGCCGACCUGAGAGGGUGAUCGGCCACAUUGGGACUGAGACACGGCCCAAACUYCUACGGGAGGCAGCAGUAGGGAAUCUUCCGCAAUGGACGAAAGUCUGACRGARCAACGCCGCGUGAGUGAAGAAGGUUUUCGGAUCGUAAAACUCUGUUGUCAGAGAAGAACAAGUCGGAGAGUAACUGCUYCGGCCUUGACGGUAUCUGACCAGAAAGCCACGGCUAACUACGUGYCAGCAGGCGCGGUAAUACGUAGUGGCAAGCSGUUGUCCGGAUUUWUUGGGCGUAAAGCGAGCGCAGSGGUUCUUUAGUYUGAUGKUGAAGCCACGGCUCAACCGUGGAAGGUCAUUGGAACUGGGGAACUUGA